RNAcentral lists this ribosomal RNA (434 nucleotides) under uncultured bacterium. RNAcentral describes it as "partial 16S ribosomal RNA". It matches the Rfam family "Bacterial small subunit ribosomal RNA", at positions 29 to 507 of the family's 1533-position model. The record is from RNAcentral.
AGCGAACGCUGGCGGCAGGCCUAACACAUGCAAGUCGAACGAACCUUUCGGGGUUAGUGGCGGACGGGUGAGUAACACGUGGGAACGUGCCUUUAAGUUCGGAAUAACUCAGGGAAACUUGUGCUAAUACCGAAUGUGCCCUUCGGGGGAAAGAUUUAUCGCCUUUAGAGCGGCCCGCGUCUGAUUAGCUAGUUGGUUGAGGUAAUGGCUCACCAAGGCGACGAUCAGUAGCUGGUCUGAGAGGAUGAUCAGCCACAUUGGGACUGAGACACGGACCAAACUCCUACGGGAGGCAGCAGUGGGGAAUAUUGCGCAAUGGGCGAAAGCCUGACGCAGCCAUGCCGCGUGAAUGAUGAAGGUCUUAGGAUUGUAAAAUUCUUUGACAGGGGACGAUAAUGACGGUACCCGGAGAAGAAGCCCCGGCUAACUUCGUG